RNAcentral lists this ribosomal RNA (253 nucleotides) under uncultured bacterium. RNAcentral describes it as "partial 16S ribosomal RNA". It matches the Rfam family "Bacterial small subunit ribosomal RNA", at positions 524 to 776 of the family's 1533-position model. The record is from RNAcentral.
UACGUAGGGGGCAAGCGUUGUCCGGAAUCAUUGGGCGUAAAGCGCGUGUAGGCGGCCCGGUAAGUCCGCUGUGAAAGUCGGGGGCUCAACCCUCGGAUGCCGGUGGACACUGUCGGGCUAGAGUGCGGGAGAGGCGAGUGGAAUUCCUGGUGUAGCGGUGAAAUGCGCAGAUAUCAGGUGGAACACCAAUUGCGAAGGCAGCUCGCUGGAACGUUACUGACGCUGAGACGCGAAAGCGUGGGGAGCAAACAGG